This 468-nucleotide ribosomal RNA is filed under the name uncultured bacterium. Its description in RNAcentral is "partial 16S ribosomal RNA". It matches the Rfam family "Bacterial small subunit ribosomal RNA", at positions 28 to 507 of the family's 1533-position model. The record is from RNAcentral.
GACGAACGCUGGCGGCGUGCUUAACACAUGCAAGUCGAACGGAAAGGCCCUGCUUUUGUGGGGUGCUCGAGUGGCGAACGGGUGAGUAACACGUGAGUAACCUGCCCUUGACUUUGGGAUAACUUCAGGAAACUGGGGCUAAUACCGGAUAGGAGCUCCUGCUGCAUGGUGGGGGUUGGAAAGUUUCGGCGGUUGGGGCUGGACUCGCGGCUUAUCAGCUUGUUGGUGGGGUAGUGGCUUACCAAGGCUUUGACGGGUAGCCGGCCUGAGAGGGUGACCGGCCACAUUGGGCCUGAGAUACGGCCCAGACUCCUACGGGAGGCAGCAGUGGGGAAUAUUGCACAAUGGGCGGACGCCUGAUGCAGCAACGCCGCGUGCGUGAUGACGGCCUUCGGGUUGUAAACCGCUUUCGCCUGUGACGAAGCGUGAGUGACGGUAAUGGGUAAAGAAGCACCGGCUAACUACGUG